This 492-nucleotide ribosomal RNA is filed under the name uncultured bacterium. Its description in RNAcentral is "partial 16S ribosomal RNA". It matches the Rfam family "Bacterial small subunit ribosomal RNA", at positions 29 to 507 of the family's 1533-position model. The record is from RNAcentral.
AGCGAACGCUGGCGGUAGGCCUAAUACAUGCAAGUCGAACGGCAGCACAGUAUGCGCUUGCUCUUACGGGUGGCGAGUAGCGGAUGGGUGAGGAAUACAUCGGCAUCUACUUUUUCGUGGGGGACAACGUAGAGCAAAUUACGCUAAUACCUCAUAACAUCUAAGAGUGAAAGCAGGGGUUAUUCGGACCAUGCGCGCACGCAUGAAUCGAUGUCGGAUUAGCUAGUUGGCGGGGUAAAGGCCCACUCAGGGGACGAACCGUACCUGGUCUGAGAGGAUGAUCAGCCACACUGGAACUGGGACACGGUCCAGACUCCUACGGGGGGCGGCGGUGGGGAAUAUUGGACAAUGGGGGCAAGCCUGAUCCAGCCAUACCGCGUGGGUGAAGAAGGCCUUCGGGUUUUAAAGCCCGUUUGUUGGGAAGGAAAAGCAGCAGGUUAAUACCCCGCUGUUCUGACGGUACCCAAAGAAUAAGCACCGGCUAACUUCGUG